UUGGGUUUUGUUGGUUUGAAGUUCACUUGGUGCAACUGGCAAGACCCAGAGUGUCAUGUCAAGGUGCGGUUGGAUAGGGCAGUGGCAAAUGCAAGUUUCUUGAACCUGUUUGAGGAUUGUAAGGUAGAGAAUGUGAGAACCACCACAUCUGAUCACUGUGCUAUUCACAUUUGUCUCUCUUCAACUUCUUCGCUUUGCCAUUAGAGACCUGUGCGACAAGGCUUUAAAUAUGAAGCAAUGUGGCUUCGGACAACUGAUUACAGGGGGAUUGUGGAUCAUGUUUGGGAUGCUGGAAGGGAGGGCUCUUUAUCUUUUCAGUCUACCUGGGUGUAUCUGAACCGCGUCACUGGCUCGCUUCGUUCCUGGAGUAGGGAGUCAUUCGGUUCGAUCAGGAAGAAAAUUACCAAGCUGGAGCAUCGUCUUCACACAAUCGGAUCAUCCGCGACUUCUCCCACAUCUCUAAUGGAAUAACGAUCCAUUGAAGGAUAGCUCAACAAGUUGUUUGAGCGAGAGGAGAUAAUAACGCGACUACACUCCUGGGUGGAUUGGCUCCAGGAGGGCGACCAGAACAAAAGCUUCUUCCAUGCCUGAGCAACAAAGUGUCGGCGAACAAACAUGAUUUCCUUGCUGGAACGCGAGGAUGGUUCUAAAUGUAAGUCGCAAUCAGAGAUUAAAGGUAUGGUUGAGAGGUUUUAGGACACACUUUUCACUUCAGUACCUUAUUUUUCGGCUGAUGCUAUUCUUGAUGCCAUUCCUACCAAAAUUUCUUCGGAUAUAAAUGAGGACCUAUGUGGACCUUAUUCUAAUGAAGAGAUGAAGGUGGCUUUGUUUAAGAUGGGACCAACGGAAGCAGCUGGGCCUGAUGGCUUUCCGGCUCUUUUCUACCAAACCCACUUGCAUAUUUUGUAA
RNAcentral lists this ribosomal RNA (909 nucleotides) under Triticum aestivum (bread wheat). Its description in RNAcentral is "partial small subunit ribosomal RNA". Lineage: Eukaryota; Viridiplantae; Streptophyta; Magnoliopsida; Poales; Poaceae. The record is from RNAcentral.